This 1062-nucleotide ribosomal RNA is filed under the name Escherichia coli. RNAcentral's name for it is "bacterial LSU rRNA". It matches the Rfam family "Bacterial large subunit ribosomal RNA", at positions 144 to 1258 of the family's 2925-position model. Lineage: Bacteria; Pseudomonadati; Pseudomonadota; Gammaproteobacteria; Enterobacterales; Enterobacteriaceae. The record is from RNAcentral.
CACACUAUCAUUAACUGAAUCCAUAGGUUAAUGAGGCGAACCGGGGGAACUGAAACAUCUAAGUACCCCGAGGAAAAGAAAUCAACCGAGAUUCCCCCAGUAGCGGCGAGCGAACGGGGAGGAGCCCAGAGCCUGAAUCAGUGUGUGUGUUAGUGGAAGCGUCUGGAAAGGCGCGCGAUACAGGGUGACAGCCCCGUACACAAAAAUGCACAUAUUGUGAGCUCGAUGAGUAGGGCGGGACACGUGGUAUCCUGUCUGAAUAUGGGGGGACCAUCCUCCAAGGCUAAAUACUCCUGACUGACCGAUAGUGAACCAGUACCGUGAGGGAAAGGCGAAAAGAACCCCGGCGAGGGGAGUGAAAAAGAACCUGAAACCGUGUACGUACAAGCAGUGGGAGCCUCUUAAUGGGGUGACUGCGUACCUUUUGUAUAAUGGGUCAGCGACUUAUAUUCUGUAGCAAGGUUAACCGAAUAGGGGAGCCGAAGGGAAACCGAGUCUUAACUGGGCGUUAAGUUGCAGGGUAUAGACCCGAAACCCGGUGAUCUAGCCAUGGGCAGGUUGAAGGUUGGGUAACACUAACUGGAGGACCGAACCGACUAAUGUUGAAAAAUUAGCGGAUGACUUGUGGCUGGGGGUGAAAGGCCAAUCAAACCGGGAGAUAGCUGGUUCNNUUAGGUAGCGCCUCGUGAAUUCAUCUCCGGGGGUAGAGCACUGUUUCGGCAAGGGGGUCAUCCCGACUUACCAACCCGAUGCAAACUGCGAAUACCGGAGAAUGUUAUCACGGGAGACACACGGCGGGUGCUAACGUCCGUCGUGAAGAGGGAAACAACCCAGACCGCCAGCUAAGGUCCCAAAGUCAUGGUUAAGUGGGAAACGAUGUGGGAAGGCCCAGACAGCCAGGAUGUUGGCUUAGAAGCAGCCAUCAUUUAAAGAAAGCGUAAUAGCUCACUGGUCGAGUCGGCCUGCGCGGAAGAUGUAACGGGGCUAAACCAUGCACCGAAGCUGCGGCAGCGACACUAUGUGUUGUUGGGUAGGGGAGCGUUCUGUAAGCCUGUGAAGGUG